CCCCGUGUGGCGGAAUUGGUAGACGCGCUAGCUUCAGGUGCUAGUGUCCGCAAGGACGUGCUGGUUCGAGUCCAGUUGCGGGGACCA
RNAcentral lists this transfer RNA (87 nucleotides) under Candidatus Saccharimonadota bacterium. Its description in RNAcentral is "tRNA-Leu". It matches the Rfam family "tRNA". Rfam says of the family: Transfer RNA (tRNA) molecules are approximately 80 nucleotides in length. Lineage: Bacteria; Candidatus Saccharimonadota. The record is from RNAcentral.